CUUAAUUUUCUUUACCAUCUCACUCUCCUAUGCAAUUGGCUAAUGAUUACUCAGUUGCUAAAUAAGUUACCUGAAAAAAAAUUGUAUUUAUGGGCAAUGAGAUAAAUAACAACAUUAAAACCAAGAACAUUGCCUUACUAUAUUUUCCAAAUAUUUUGUUUAAAAUGAAAACUAAUCAAAUACUUGAUUUGAUAAUUAUAUGUAUAUAAAUUCUAAUAUCUUCCAAGAUACGUGGGCUUAAUUUUAGUUUUGACUUUGUGAAAAAC
RNAcentral lists this long non-coding RNA (266 nucleotides) under Homo sapiens (human). RNAcentral's name for it is "HSALNT0044043". The record is from RNAcentral. Lineage: Eukaryota; Metazoa; Chordata; Mammalia; Primates; Hominidae.